AUAUCAGUAAGCGGAGGAGAAGAAACUAACAAGGAUUCCCCUAGUAACGGCGAGUGAAGCGGGAAAAGCUCAAAUUUUAAAUCAAGGAAAUUCUUUGAAUUGUAAUUGAGAGGACAUGGUUGAGGGAGAGAAAGUGCGUAAGUUCUUUGGAAAAGGACAUGACAAAGGGUGACAAUCCCGUAAUGCACGAAACACUCUCCUUUCAUCUUUCAUGUUCGACGAGUCGGAUUGUUUGGGAAUGCAAUCCUAAAUGGGUGGUACAUGUCAUCUAAAGCUAAAUAUGGGCAAGAGACCGAUAGCGCACAAGUA
RNAcentral lists this ribosomal RNA (309 nucleotides) under uncultured eukaryote. RNAcentral's name for it is "partial large subunit ribosomal RNA". It matches the Rfam family "Eukaryotic large subunit ribosomal RNA", at positions 40 to 350 of the family's 3401-position model. The record is from RNAcentral.